UUCUUAAUGAAAUAAUUUUAAGUAACACCUGCUCAAUGAAAUUUCAAUAGCCGCAGAAUAUUUACUGUGCUAAGGUAGCAUAAUCAUUAGCCUCUUAAUUAGAGGCUCGUAUGAACGGUGAAACAUUUCAUCUUCUUUUUUUCCUAUUUUUUUUAAAAUUUAAUUAAGAGUAAAAAUGCUCUUAUUCUUAAUAUAGACGACAAGACCCUUUUGAACUUUACUGAAGUUUGGCUGGGGCAGCUUAUUAAUAAUCAUCUUUUUAUUUUUUGAUUCUUAAAUGACCCAAUAUUAUUGAUUAUUUGAACAAGUUACCAUAGGGAUAACAGCGUAAUUUCUUUUCAAAGUUCUUAUUUAAAAAGAAGAUUGCGACCUCGAUGUUGAAUUAAUGUAACUUUUUGAUGCAACAAUUUUAGGAGUAGGUCUGUUCGACCUUUAAAACAUUACAU
Molecule: ribosomal RNA, 446 nt
Filed under: Cyrtophora cylindroides
Lineage: Eukaryota; Metazoa; Arthropoda; Arachnida; Araneae; Araneidae
Description: partial 16S large subunit ribosomal RNA
Rfam family: Bacterial large subunit ribosomal RNA
Source: RNAcentral